RNAcentral lists this ribosomal RNA (1076 nucleotides) under Hausmanniella discoidea. Its description in RNAcentral is "SSU rRNA". It matches the Rfam family "Bacterial small subunit ribosomal RNA", at positions 524 to 1488 of the family's 1533-position model. Lineage: Eukaryota; Ciliophora; Colpodea; Colpodida; Hausmanniellidae. The record is from RNAcentral.
UACAUGAGUGGCAAGCGUUAUCCGUAAUAAUUGGGCGUAAAGGGUGUGUAGGCUGUAAAAGAAGUUAUAAUUUACUAUAACGGAAUACCGGGUAAAAUUAUAAAACCUUUUUACUGGAGUUUAAUAGAUGUAAAUUACAUUUAUAAGCUAGUGAUAAAAUACUGGGAGUUUGUAAGUAGAUCCAAUGGUGCAAACAAUUUACAAUUUUAAACUGACGCUGAUACACGAAAGCUUGGGUAUCGAAAAGGAUUAGACACCCUAUUAGUCCAAGCCUUAAACUAUGAGUAUUAAACAAUAUGUUUAAGUUAACGCGUAAAUACUCCGCCUGGGCAGUACAGUCGCAAGGUUGAAACUUAACAGAAUUGGCGGGAAUUUGUUCAAACGGUGGAACAUGUGGUUUAAUGCGAUAAUCCGCGCAAAAUCUUACCAAGGUGAUCUAUAAUUAUACUUUUAUGGUUAACGUUAUAAAAGUGGUUAUAUGUGAGGUACUGCAUGGCUGUCGUCAGUUCGUGCUGUGAGGUGUAGAAUUAAGUUUCAUAACGAACAAACUCCCUUUAGUAGUUUUAAUUUUUGUAUUUUAUAUUGUGUUAAAAUUCGUAAUUCCAAUUCGUGUUUUAAAAAAUAUUGAUACAAAUUUUUUCUACUAUAUGCUUUUAUUUUAUAUUUUUAUUAAAAUAAUGAGGGAAGAAAGGACUGAAGUCAAGUCAUUAUGGUCCGUGUAUUUUGGGCUACACACGUGUUACAUAGGUAAAAACAAAGGGUUGCAAAAAAGAAAUUUGUAGCAAAUCUCUAAAAAUUACCUCUGUUCAGAUUGUCCACUGAAACUCGUGGGCAUGAAGAUGAAAUCGUUAGUAAUCGUAAAUUAGUAUGUUACGGUGAAUGACAAACCAAAUUUUGCACACACCGCCCAUCACGCUCUAAGAGUUGAUCUUUAAUUAGUAGCUCUAUAGGAAAUUGUUAUCUAAAUCGAUUUUAUCGUAUAUUUAUAAUAAAAUUUAUAUGUUGAAACCGUAAUUUAUUUUAUCGGUUAUUAUCGAUUGGGCUACGAAAACUGAUCAGUUAUUUGAGUGAAGUUG